GAUCCUGGCUCAGGAUGAACGCUAGCUACAGGCUUAACACAUGCAAGUCGAGGGGCAGCAUGAACUUAGCUUGCUAAGUUUGAUGGCGACCGGCGCACGGGUGAGUAACACGUAUCCAACCUUCCCGUUACUCUGGAAUAGCCUUUCGAAAGAAAGAUUAAUACCGGAUAGUAUCGAGAGAUUGCAUGAUUACCCGAUUUAAAGAUUCAUCGGUAACGGAUGGGGAUGCGUUCCAUUAGG
RNAcentral lists this ribosomal RNA (240 nucleotides) under uncultured bacterium. RNAcentral's name for it is "partial 16S ribosomal RNA". It matches the Rfam family "Bacterial small subunit ribosomal RNA", at positions 15 to 245 of the family's 1533-position model. The record is from RNAcentral.